AGUUUUUACCGUUAGUAACCGUUGGUUAUAUUUUACCGUUGUUAGUAAUUACCGUCGAUUGUAUAGAAACUUUUUGAAUUGUGUUAGAAUGGGUUAGGCCCAUUAGAAUUUGAGUUGAACCCAUUAAGGGGGAUAACACUAGGGUUGUCAUAGAAUUGUAUUCAUUCACUUCACAAAACAUUUUCCUAGAGAGAGGAAGAGGUAGAGAGAGAAAGAGGUGAAGAGAAGAACAAGAGGGUUGAAGGGAAGCUUGAGGAAUCAAGUGGGUGACCUAGG
RNAcentral lists this long non-coding RNA (276 nucleotides) under Medicago truncatula (barrel medic). RNAcentral describes it as "long non-coding RNA (MTRU_LNC004071)". Lineage: Eukaryota; Viridiplantae; Streptophyta; Magnoliopsida; Fabales; Fabaceae. The record is from RNAcentral.